RNAcentral lists this ribosomal RNA (234 nucleotides) under uncultured bacterium. RNAcentral's name for it is "partial 16S ribosomal RNA". It matches the Rfam family "Bacterial small subunit ribosomal RNA", at positions 118 to 347 of the family's 1533-position model. The record is from RNAcentral.
UGGGGAACAUGACCUUCGGCGGGGGAUAGCCGGCCCCAACGGCCGGGUAAUACCGCGUACGACCACAUGGGGACAUCCCCGAGUGGUGAAAGCAGCAAUGCGCCGAUGGAGUGCCUCGCGGCCUAUCAGCUAGUUGGUGAGGUAACGGCUCACCAAGGCGACGACGGGUAGCUGGUCUGAGAGGAUGGCCAGCCACAUUGGGACUGAGACACGGCCCAGACUCCUACGGGAGCA